AUUUAUUUAUUUAUUUUGGGAGAGAGAGAUAAAACAUGCUCGGGCACACACAUGCGUGCACAGGCAGGGUAGGGGCUGAGACAGAGAGGGAGAGAGAGAAUACCAAGCAGGCUCUAUGCUGUUAGCACAGAGCCUGACUCGAGGCUGGAUCUCACAAAUUGUGAGAUCACGACCUGAGCUGAAAUCAAGAGUGAGAUGCUUAGCCGACUGAGCCAUCCAGGUGCCCUGUGCUUUCUAAAAAUUCUUUGAAUUGUGGGUCCCCUUUUUCUGGCCAGAGUAUACUCUAUUGGGUGAUGAUUUUGCAUAAACUAUGGUGAGAUGCUGUUCAGAACUAGUACCACAAGCUGGGAGAAGGUAUCUGUUGGCAUGAAAACCAUGAACUUCCAAACUUAAAUAUCUGAGUGCUUUGUUAACCUGGAUAAAUAUGCCAAUGGAUAUGGCUGACCCUAAGUUAAUGAGGCACUCAGGAAAUGGGGUAUAUUUGGAGGGUCCACAUUUCUGAAUGGCUAAGGUUAUUCAGAUUAUAUUCGUUGUAAAUCAGUCUAAAGAAUAUCCGCCUGCUUCUCAGCCUUAACCCUAAAUAGUGAAUUCAACAGAUUUCUUUUUUUCAUUUAGUGUCCCGAAAAGCAUGGGACUGCCAUAUUACAGGUUUCUUUUUUAUACAGUUUGGAGCUGAGUGAUUGGAUAAAGAUAGGCAGGUCCCUAGGAAAGCACCUAAUAGUUGUUUUUAGAAUGAAUUUUUAAGCCUAUUUUACAUCUCUGUUGAAAUUCUUCGUUCAUGCAUUGUUCUUUUAGAAUUAAUUGGGGUGGAGUUUGCUUUUGGUCAUUAGCAUCUUUGCCCUAAGAGGCAGAAUUGCCCCCACCCCCAAAAGUACUGAUUUAACUUGGAUUGUGUUAACAUUGGUAGGUUAGUAUCAACUGUUAAGUAUUUAAACAAAUUGUAAGUGACCAAAAUGAAUGAACCGAGUUAAUUAAGAACAGUAAGAUCACCAGGGAUGAUCACCUUCCAGGCAGCAGUACCAGCACCAAGUGUUCACUCAGCACCUCUCACCAGGGGCUGUUCUGAGUGUCAGGAAGGAUCAAAGAAACACAGGCAGAGAGUCUUUAAGCAGGAGACAUCAUCACCCAGCUGCUGUCAAUUGCCAGGUGGGUGAACAACAAAAGGAGGAGGGGUGUAUUAGCGUGGGGAGCACCCUGGGUUGGGGCAGGCGGCCUGGCCAAGUGCUGCUAGAGGCAAACUACUCAACAUCUCUAGACCUCAGUUUCCUCAUGUGAAAACGAGGUGUUCAACUCAAUUUCAAAAGGACCUUCAGCCUCUGAGACUCCAGAGCAGAUGUUUGUUGAAGGAGGCCUGAGGGUUUACAGCAGGAACUGUCAUUUGAUGGGUGAGUCAGACUGGGGGCAGCAGGAAAAUAAUGUCUUCACAAUCCACACAAGGGCACAGGCAAUUAGGAAACACACUUAGCUGAUGGCUUGAGUGUUUGUUCCACUCGGAGGAUAUAUUCCUGAAGAGGGACAGGGUGACUCAUCAGCCGGCUGUAACCUGAUGAAAUAGAGCUAUCCAAUUUCCUUGCUCUGAUUCCAGGCAACCAAAGGAUCUUAAUUUGGUUUUCCAAGGCAGUUUCCCCAGGCAAGCAGAGGAGUAAGUUAUGGCAAUUGGAAAUUGACCUUCUUUCGUGGGAGCAAAAUUAGAUCACGUGUGAGAAAUGACUGUGAAAUUAAAUAAAGUAGCAUUCAAAUUCAAAGAAACAGCAUUCUCAGUAAUAUCCUCAUUAGUUAUGAAUCAUUUUUGUGCUGAUUUGAUUGGCCUUUGAACCAUGUUUCUUUUUUAGAGCUAGUAAACCCUGGGUGACUCGAUAAAUAUAGACAUUCUGGGUCUGGAAAAUGAGAGGCAAAAAUUACUAACAUUUACAUGGUGCUUUACAAUUUUUUUUUAGGAUGAUUUCACAUAAAGAUCCCAGUAGCGCUGGGAGCGAGAGAAUAUUAUGUUCCUGGUCUCCAGCUCAGGAAAGCUUAGUACUAGAGAGCUAGGAAGGGUUCGAGCUUGCAGUCAAACCUAGAUCUUGGGCUUCAAAUCCUGAUUGCAGCGUGGCUUCCGAAGGGAGUGAAUGCUCUUCUCCCAGCCCCUCUCCCCAUAUUCACUGACAUUACCACAGGAGACACGUGCCAGAUCUUGAAGGGGUUGAAGCAGAAGGUAAUCUGUUCUGGAGAUCAUGAAACUGAUCUCUUUCCCUCUGCAAAUGCCACGUGAAGCGCAUUCGUAGGGCCUCUCCAGAGGCUGCCUCAUGAGGGGAGGUUCUGCUUGGCUUCCCUUUGUCCUUAGACUCAGGCUGAAUCUGCUUGCUGCAUGUGGAGAAAGUGCCCGUUCUGCUUUGGCAGAGUCUCCGGAGUGUUGGGUUCCUACCUGUCUUCAUCUGAAAGUUUGGUCUGGAUAUCCCCGCUGAAAGUGACUAGGGAUCCCCAGCUGGGACAGCUCCCCUAGAUCACCACUGUCGGAUCUAGCCCACCCAGCCUCCUGCAUCUCUGCUGCCAGAGCUGCCCGGCUCAGAUUACCAGAGGGGAGGGAGGGUGGGUAUGGAUCUCAGGAUCUGGGGCCCCAGGUGCACUGCAAGCCUGAGCUCUCCAUCUGCCUUGGCGAAACUCUGCCUGUGGCAGAGUGAGAUCUUUGUAUCCAGACCCUUCCAAUUCACGGAGGCAAGUGGAAGACUGCUCCUUGGCUGGGGAAUUUCUAAAGGCUCGGGAAAAAGAUGAACUGGCCCCAUUCCUGCAUCUCCUUUUGCUGGAUUUACUUUGCUGUCUCCAGACUGAGAGCUGUAGAAACAGCAGAUGGAAAAUAUGCUCAGAAAUUGUUUAAUGACCUUUUUGAAGAUUAUUCCAAUGCUCUUCGUCCAGUAGAAGAUACAGAUAAAGUCCUGAAUGUCACCCUGCAGAUUACACUUUCUCAGAUUAAGGACAUGGAUGAAAGAAACCAGAUUCUGACUGCCUAUUUAUGGAUCCGCCAAAUCUGGCAUGAUGCAUAUCUCACGUGGGAUCGAGACCAGUAUGAUGGACUGGAUUCCAUCAGGAUCCCCAGUGACCUGGUAUGGAGGCCAGAUAUUGUCCUAUAUAACAAGGCUGAUGACGAAUCUUCUGAGCCUGUGAACACCAACGUGGUUCUGCGGUAUGAUGGGCUAAUCACCUGGGAUGCACCAGCCAUCACCAAAAGCUCCUGUGUAGUGGAUGUCACCUAUUUCCCCUUUGAUAACCAGCAGUGCAAUCUGACCUUUGGUUCCUGGACCUACAAUGGCAACCAGGUGGACAUAUUCAAUGCCCUAGACAGUGGAGACCUCUCUGACUUCAUCGAAGAUGUGGAGUGGGAGGUCCAUGGCAUGCCUGCUGUGAAGAAUGUGAUCUCCUAUGGCUGCUGCUCUGAGCCUUACCCAGAUGUGACAUUCACUCUCCUUCUAAAGAGGAGGUCCUCAUUCUAUAUUGUCAACCUCCUCAUCCCAUGCGUCCUCAUAUCUUUUCUGGCUCCCUUGAGUUUUUAUCUCCCAGCAGCCUCUGGGGAAAAGGUCUCCUUGGGAGUGACCAUUCUGUUGGCCAUGACUGUAUUUCAGCUCAUGGUGGCAGAGAUCAUGCCAGCCUCAGAAAAUGUACCUCUGAUAGGCAAAUACUACAUAGCCACAAUGGCUUUGAUCACAGCCUCCACGGCGUUGACCAUUAUGGUGAUGAAUAUCCACUUCUGUGGGGCCGAGGCCCGGCCAGUGCCACACUGGGCCAGGGUGGUCAUCCUGAAAUACAUGUCCAGGGUCUUGUGUGUCUACGAUGUGGGUGAGAGCUGCCUUAGUCCCCGCCACAACAGGGAGCGAACCCACCUCACAAAGGUUUAUGGCAAACUUCCAGAGCCAAAUCUGAACAUGGACAGAAACAAAGACCUUCCCAGAAAGAAGGAAAUAAACAAGCUCUUAAAGAAUGAUUUGGGAUGCCAGGGUGAGAACCCACAGGAUGCUGACAGUUACUGUGCACGGUACAAAGUGCUGACAAGGAAUAUCGAGUACAUUGCCAAGUGCCUCAAAGACCACAAGGCCACCAAUUCCAAGGGGAGUGAGUGGAAGAAAGUUGCAAAAGUCAUAGACCGAUUCUUCAUGACUGGUGCAUUUCAAGUCAUUUCUCAAAUGAUGGAAUAAAGAUUUUUGUUCCAUAUAUAAAGGCAGUCUAAGAAUCAGCAGCUUCAUGGAGAGAGACAGAGCAUGAACGGGGGAGGGUCAGAGAGAGAGGAAGACACAGAAUCCGAAGCAGGCUCCAGGCUCUGAGCGGUCAGCACGGAGCCCGACGUGGGGCUCGAACUCAUGGACCUCGAGAUCAUGACUUGAGCCGAAGUCGGACGCUUAACCGACCGAACCACCCAGGCGCCCCAGGUCUGAUCUUUUUGAUCUUCACAACAAUUCUGUGAGCCAGCCAAGCAGGUAUUUCUAGUCUUUUUUGUCAGAGAAGGAAACUAUGUCAGAGGAAGGUGCAUGGAAGUGACCCACCUCCUCAACAUUCAACCAAGUGGUAAGUGGAGCUGGGAUUCAGACCCUCAUCACUGUGACUCUGAGUUUGGACCAGGCCUGCUCCAAUCACACUGCUUUUGGUCAUGAUAGAUCAUGAUUUAGGAUACAAGAGACUGAGGGAUCCUCAUUCUGAAUUCUGAUUUUCUGCCCUGAAGUACUUCCUAUGCUUUUCCACUUUUUUCCUACUUUCAAUCAAAUGUGUCAUCAAAUUCUCCCCAGACAAAUACAAUAUAGUGUCUGAAGUGUGUAGAAAUAUUGCCAAAAUGCCACGGGAAAAAUGAUGCCAAAUCUGUUUGAGGGAAAGCUUGGGAAAGACUUUGUGGGAGGUGUAACAUUUGAGCUGGGCUUUGAAGGAUGAGUAGGAGUUUGCUAGACUAAGAAAGAAGUAGGGUAGGGAUUAGAAGGCAUUAGGAAAAAGAAAAGAGGAUGAGCAGAACUUAGAACAGAGGUCUUGGUUUAUUCAUGGAAUGGAUUAUGAGGAAUUAGAGAAAUAUAACUUGGAAUCAAACCAUUUUUUUCUUCUUUAUUUUAAUUAUAGAACUAGUUUUAUCAGUUAACAGUUGUAUUUGACUAAAAAUAACAGAAAACUCACUGUCCCUUGACUUAAGCAGACAAAAGUUAUUCAUUUGCACAAAGGUAAAUCUAGAGUUACAAAGUCCAGGGACCUUUUCAUCUUUCUACUGUGAUAUUGUAAGGCACAAAUUUGUGGUAAUUUGUUAGAGCAGUAAUAGAAAGCUAAUAUAGUACCCAAUGAACAACUCUGUGUAUAUAACUUUUUCCACGUUUUAGCUUGCUUGUUUGGGAUAGAUUUACCUACAGCCAGAUUGAGAUGUUUCCACUGGGACAUGCUUAAAAAUUUUGAACUUUAUCCCCAGAACACUGGGGAGCCACAAAAGGAUUUUCAGCGAGAGAAUGAGAAUGUCAGGUUUGUUUUUCAGAAACAAGACUGUGGGGGCAGUUAGAAGAUUGUAGAGAAAGGAUAGAAAAGGCAGAGAGAUCUGUUGGCCUGUUUUUGACCAAUUCAGGGAAGUGAUAAUGAGGCUUGACCCAAGAUGGUGGAGAUAAGUGAAAGUGUCAUUCAUGACCUAAGUAUUUAUGUACUAAAUAGACAGGACAUGGUGACAGGUUGGAUGUAGGGUUAAAGACAGAGUGGUAUUGAGAAUGAUUCUGAGCUGCUACUCCAGACAACUGAGAGGAAGAGUAAAGGAGGAUUGGGCUAUGGAGGAGAGAAUUCUGUUUAGGACAUCUUGUAUGUGAAAUGCAUAUCAGACACCUGGUGGACAUGUCCAAUGAGUAGUGAACGUGUGUUUGGAAAUUUGGAGACAAGCAAAAGCUUUUACACUCAAGCUAAUUGUUACAAUAUUUACUAAGUUAUUUCAGUGGGUAAGAUGCAGUGCUACAACCUGAGAGACUGAAAUGAAUAGAAACACAUUCUUUGCCAGAAUUCCAUAAGAUUAUAACCAUUGCCUGUCAUUAAAGCAUUUACCUUGUUAUGCUGUCAUUUCUUCAUUCAUGUGUCUACUUCCCCAAGUAUACUGAGAUCCUCUCUGGCCUAGCACCCAGAAGUUCUGUCAUUCUCAUUUUACCCUUUGGGAUAAGGGUAUUCUCUUUUUAUCCUUUGUGUACAAUAAAGGGCCUAGUACAAAGUCAUUAGCCACUGAGAGACUGUUAGUGGAUGAGUAAGUGAAAGGAAGAGCUGUAAGAGUGUCCAACUGAAUGCUUUAGAAGCACAGACUGGGAAGGGGCUCCCUCCAUAGACAAUAUACCAAAAAUAAAUUCCAGAUGAAUUAUAGACUUAGAGGUAAAAACAAAUAAAAAUGAAAGGUUUAUCAGAAGAUCUAGGAGACUUCCCAAAUAAAAUUCUCCACCUCAAUACAUUUGAAAACUACAGGAAAGAGGAGUCCAGGGCUCAUGAAGAAGAGGAACAAAGGGGACUGGUUUGGAUUGGGUGGUCAGGCUGCUGAGGAAUUGGCAUUUAAGAUGAGAU
Molecule: RNA transcript, 6519 nt
Organism: Neofelis nebulosa (Clouded leopard)
Lineage: Eukaryota; Metazoa; Chordata; Mammalia; Carnivora; Felidae
Gene: CHRNA9
Gene name: cholinergic receptor nicotinic alpha 9 subunit
Exons: 7
Source: RefSeq, a predicted model, not a curated record